This 405-nucleotide long non-coding RNA is filed under the name Linum usitatissimum (flax). RNAcentral describes it as "long non-coding RNA (LUSI_LNC001454)". The record is from RNAcentral. Lineage: Eukaryota; Viridiplantae; Streptophyta; Magnoliopsida; Malpighiales; Linaceae.
ACCUCACGCGGCGAAACCCGCCGCCAUUACCGAACUAGGAAGAAUGAUCGGGAGACAUAUUGGGAGAGCAAUGGUAGCUAGGGCGUUUAGAAACAACGGAUUGGUGGUGGUGCUUGAACAGACUAGGACUACUGCUACCACUCUCAUGGUGAUGGUGAUUGUUGAGUGUCCCUUCGUUGAACGAUGGAAUCAGAGAUCCCAGAAUCGGAGUCGAAGAGCUACGUAGCAGCAUUGUUUCCCGGCCUAGAAAACAGAAAUUGUUCUCAUUCCAUAGUUCAAUUCCAGCUGAGAAAAUCAAAGGUUGGUAGGAGAUGCAUUAGUGGACGUACCUUUGAAUGAUGAACAGUCUCUGAAUCUGACCUUUGACGGUCUGGAAACGGAAAAGAUCUGAGAUUUAUAUCGAGU